AACGCACCUUGCACUCCUUGGUAUUCCGAGGAGUAUGCCUGUUUGAGUGUCAUUAAAUUCUCAAGCUUCAACCUUGUUGUAAUGACUUGGUUUGUUGUUUGGACUUGAGGGUUGCCGCGAGUUCUUGGACUUUUGAACGGCUCCCUUUAAAUGCAUUAGUGGUGACUUGGAUCCACUAUCAAAUGUGUUGAUAGUUAUCUACACUUUGAAGUGACCGAUUGUCUUUCCGCUUCUAACUGUCCCUUGGGACAAUAUCUUGAAAUUUGACCUCAAAUCAGGUAGGACUACCCGCUGAACUUAA
This 301-nucleotide unclassified non-coding RNA is filed under the name uncultured fungus. RNAcentral describes it as "partial contains 5.8S ribosomal RNA, internal transcribed spacer 2, and large subunit ribosomal RNA". The stretch from base 1 to 52 matches the Rfam family "5.8S ribosomal RNA", at positions 103 to 154 of the family's 154-position model. Lineage: Eukaryota; Fungi. RNAcentral also lists the same sequence under 1 other name. The record is from RNAcentral.